This 467-nucleotide ribosomal RNA is filed under the name uncultured bacterium. Its description in RNAcentral is "partial 16S ribosomal RNA". It matches the Rfam family "Bacterial small subunit ribosomal RNA", at positions 28 to 506 of the family's 1533-position model. The record is from RNAcentral.
GACGAACGCUGGCGGCGUGCUUAACACAUGCAAGUCGAACGGAAAGGCCCUGCUUUUGUGGGGUGCUCGAGUGGCGAACCGGUGAGUAACACGUGAGUAACCUGCCCUUGACUUUGGGAUAACUUCAGGAAACUGGGGCUAAUACCGGAUAGGAGCUCCUGCUGCAUGGUGGGGGUUGGAAAGUUUCGGCGGUUGGGGAUGGACUCGCGGCUUAUCAGCUUGUUGGUGGGGUAGUGGCUUACCAAGGCUUUGACGGGUAGCCGGCCUGAGAGGGUGACCGGCCACAUUGGGACUGAGAUACGGCCCAGACUCCUACGGGAGGCAGCAGUGGGGAAUAUUGCACAAUGGGCGGAAGCCUGAUGCAGCAACGCCGCGUGCGGGAUGACGGCCUUCGGGUUGUAAACCGCUUUCGCCUGUGACGAAGCGUGAGUGACGGUAAUGGGUAAAGAAGCACCGGCUAACUACGU